GCUGCUGGAGCCGGACUCCACCCACGACCUCGACCGAAAGGAGGACUCCUCCCGGACUCCUACAAAGGCCGAACUCCGACUACUGCCGAGCCUCGAUCAACAGAUCCGCGUCCCUUGGCAGAUCGCAAUAACAACCAUGAUCCUGUUCCACUUCCUGUAGCGGAUUUCGUGCGGCUCCAUCACCCCCUGCGGUGGACCCAUUACUCUCUGACAGGCUGUGUCAACGGCCACGAUGCUGCUCCGCUCCCUGCGGCAGGUGCUGCACGAUCCCACUACUCGCUGACAACUAGCGGCAACGGGCGCCGCUCCACUACCUACAACAGGCCCUACGUGGUGGGCUAUGGUGAUGGCCAUGGGUCUACCCCACUAUCUUUCGCAAUCAAUUCCCCUGACCAUGGGCGGCCCACUACCAGGCGGUUACAAACGUCACCAUCAAUCUUUUGCCUCCCCCGCCUAUAAAAGGGAGACCCAGAUACGUUAUUCUUUAAGCUCAUUUUUCUUAUCUCAAAACUCUGAUAAAUUCUCUGUUCGAGCGCUCCAUUCUUGUUGAGGCAGAGAACUGACUUGAGCGUCGGAGGGUCUUGCCGGAGCAACCCCACCUCCGGUUUAGACUUCCCUUGCAGGUCCCGGCGGCAACC
RNAcentral lists this long non-coding RNA (638 nucleotides) under Elaeis guineensis (African oil palm). Its description in RNAcentral is "long non-coding RNA (EGUI_LNC063157)". The record is from RNAcentral. Lineage: Eukaryota; Viridiplantae; Streptophyta; Magnoliopsida; Arecales; Arecaceae.